GGCGAUUUUAUUGGGCCUAAAGCGUCCGUAGCUGGCCCUGCAAGUCCGUCGGGAAAUCCACUCGCCUAACGAGUGGGCGUCCGGCGGAAACUACGGGGCUUGGGACCGGAAGACUUGAGGGGUACGUCUGGGGUAGGAGUGAAAUCCUGUAAUCCUGGACGGACCGCCGAUAGCGAAAGCACCUCAAGACGACGGAUCCGACAGUGAGGGACGAAAGCUAGGGUCUCGAAC
RNAcentral lists this ribosomal RNA (231 nucleotides) under uncultured archaeon. RNAcentral describes it as "partial 16S ribosomal RNA". It matches the Rfam family "Archaeal small subunit ribosomal RNA", at positions 494 to 724 of the family's 1478-position model. The record is from RNAcentral.